This 5362-nucleotide long non-coding RNA is filed under the name Gossypium barbadense (sea-island cotton). RNAcentral's name for it is "long non-coding RNA (GBAR_LNC006038)". Lineage: Eukaryota; Viridiplantae; Streptophyta; Magnoliopsida; Malvales; Malvaceae. The record is from RNAcentral.
AUCGAAGUAACUUUUGAUAAUAAUACGAAGGAAUCAACAUUUCCUUAUUCCAUCUCAUGUACCAAUUGAACAUUUCCUUAUUCCAUCUCAUGCUUAACAAUAAUUGAUCCUAAUAGAUUAGUGCAUUAUCGUACCCCUUUUCUUCUGUGAGUGGUGGUGACAAUUAAAGAUGAUCUCCACAUUUCUCUCCCAUUCAAGGUAUGCCUUUGGAUAAUUAAUUCUAUCCGUAGAAGGAAGGGAUGUUCAUUUUUAUGAAGUUGAUGUUAUUGUACUUUUCUUGUUGUGAAGAACCAUCACUCUUUCAUUAAGGGUGGCCUGACUAGCCAUCUGCUUGGCGACCAUCUUUUCCAUUCCGUCUUCAAACUCCAUUGUUUGAUUUUCAAUCAGUUCAUUUUAUCGUCGCUUAUCUUUUCAAUUCGAGUCUCAAACUAUGUUUCUUUGACUUCCAAUCGACCAAUGCUUCAAGGGCUAACGAAUUGGUUUUCUAGCCAGAUGUAGUACUAUUCUUUGAGGACAUUUUUUAGUUUCUGCAAGGUCGAACAAGAAUAAAAUAAGAAAAAAUUUCUUCACUGUUAUUCACUCAUGUUUGCACUCAAUUGGCUUUUACCCUCCAUUAAACUCACCACGCUUAGUUAAAUAAAGAAAUAAAUCCAAAGAGGCUGAAGGUUGGUAAAGUAAAUCAAUUCCUUAUCCCAUGGCCGGCUAUGGCUAACAAAGAACCAUAGGAUAACUCAAAUUUUACCCUUUAAAUAUUUAACCGGCCUUCAUAAAAAGAAAAACUUUAAUUAUUACGAAGACUCUAUUUCCGGUUAAUUUCAUCUGAAUUUACAUUGAACGGAGCAGUUGGGAAUUUACAAAAUUGCAUUGUAGCUUCCUCAAUUAAUGUCGAAACUAUUUUUUUUUUAAAAACGGGAAUCGACUUUGUUUGAAAGCUAAGAUUAAAAUGGGAGUCGCCACCGAUCUUUAUUAGGUGUGAUCGGAUCACCCUUGUUUUAAUAAAAUAUUUUAAUUUACUAAAACGGUGUUUUUGGUCUACGAAACUCGAGAGAACGGGUUCGAGAGUCGGUUACGUGUGAGGUAGGAUUAGCACCCUCGACACGCCCAAAAUUGGUACCGAAUUGAUUAGUUAGUGUCUUAAUGUCGAAAGUUAAAAAUUGGGAAUAGAUUUAAAAUACGAUCCCUUUUUUAUUAACGUCGAUUUAAAAAAAAAACUUGAAUUAGAUCAAAACGAUUGCUAAAGAUUUCCUCGUCUCGAGAUAUCGGAGUAUCACAUCCCGUAAGUUAGGACACGAUACCAUGAACUCCCAAGCACAAGUUUGUCUUUAAUUUCAAUUGGAAUUCCGUUUAUUUUAAAACUCAAAAGGAUAUUUGGCUAUUUAGAAUCAACGAGAAAAUCGAAACCCCGUAAGUUAGGGCACAAUUUCUCGAUGUUCCAAAACGCAAAACAUUGCCUUAUUUAGAAAAUUUUCUUUUUGAAAUAUAGCGAGUAUAAUGUUUAAUAAAGUACGUUAUUCGUUUGGAUUAAAAAUAAAACAAUUUAUUGGAUGAAUGUAACGAGGCUUGAUUCAUGGGGCGAUGAUAUGAAAUAAAAGUAUAGCGCGACAUGAAACGAUGAUACAUGAAUAAAAAAUUACACAAGUGAAUGACAAUAAUAUGAAAAUACAAAUAAACGAAUCAUAGUACAUGCAAUGGCAAUAAUCUCACAACAUGCAUCAUUUAAAUACUAACAUUAAUAAUUAAAGACCAAUGAAUUAAAUAAUAUAUAUAACAAUUUAAAAAAAAUAUAAAGCAAAUUAAAAUAAAUAAAAUGUAAAACAAAUUUUAAAACGAUAAUAAAUAAAUUUAAAAUAAAUAAUGUGAAAAAGAAAUUUAAUAUCAACAAUGUACAAAACAAUUUAAAAAUAGAGUAUAUGUAAAAGAAAUUUUAAAAUAAGUAAUAUACAAGAUAUCAAAGAAAUAACUAGUAUAUAUAAAAAAUAGAUAUAACAAUUUGAAAUUGAUAAUAUAUAUAAAAUUUUAAAGUAAAUAAUAAAACAAUUUAAAAUGAAUAAUACAUAAAGCGAGUUUAAAAUAAAUAAUGUAAAAGAAUUUUAAAAUCUAUAUUACACAAAGCAAAUUAAAAAAGGAUUCAUAUGAGUAAUUUUAAGAUAGAUAAUAUAUAUACAUACACAAAAGUGUAUGUCGAAACCAUCUUUCAAAUUUAAGGAAAAACGGGGAAUCGACUUUUAAAACCAAAUAUGGAGUCACCACAAAUCUUUUUAGUUUUAGGUGUGAUCGGAUCACCUAAAAAUUUGGUUAUUUUAAUAAAAUAUUUCUUUUUACUUAAACAACGAUUUUGGUCUUACGAAAAUAUGAGAAAACGGGUUCGGGAAUCAGUUACGCAUGAGGAAGGAUUAGCACCCUCACUACACCCAAAAUUGGUACCAAAUCGAUUAGGUACUGCCCUUAUGUCUAAGAUUUGAAAAUGUUUCUUUGAAAUAUGGUUCCUUUUAUAAACAUUUGAAUAGCCCAAGUUGGUCGCCAAAAUUCUCUUGUUUCAAAGGAAUACAUUAUCACUCCAGCACGAUAGGACACGAUCCUUUAUACCCUCGAAAACACGAUAAAUUUCGACUUCCAAAAAUUUAUAUGUUGAAAACUGCAAAAGGAUGCCCAAUUAUUUAGUCCAACGAAAAAAUCAAUGUAGCACCCCAAACCCGGCCCAGAAGUUAUGGCCGGAUCUGGCAUGCCACAUCAAAAACGUAAAAAAAAUUUCUAUUCUAAGUCCAGAAAAUCGUACUUGAUGUUCAAAAGAUUAAUUCAUUAAGGGUUAAAGUGAAUGGAAGCUGUGCACCAGGUAGGAAACCGGAAAAGAGGUGGUGAGUCUAUCGGACUGCUUAAGUACCAAGCUCCCUUCGGAUCCAAUCCUAGACAUGCAUACCGCCAUUGCCACACCUUAACGUCAUGGAUAUUUCUAGGAAACCGAUUCGAUUAAGUCAUUUUUAGGAAAAGUGAUUAAUUUUGGAAAAUACUUUCAUUACGGAAGCUUUGCUUGUUGUUGUGUUAUUUUGAAAUCAACUGUUGUUUUUGAAAACGCGCCCUAAAGCUAUCCAAUUUCAACAGUUAAAAUAAGUAUUACCUAUCUUAGUAAUACAUAUUAAAAACCAUCAAAAAUAAAUAAGCGGCCUUAUUACAUUUAAAAGCCCAAAACCUCAAACGUAAUUAAAAGGAUGUCAAGUUCACCAGAAGAAAAUCAAACUUUCAGAACGGGUGGCCACUCCGAAUUCCCUCACAGCUCCAAGCCCACUAUGGUUGGGGAUUUCCUGCGUGGAUGAAAAUAAAAGGGGUGAGUUUGGGGAAACUCAGUGUGUAAAAUAACCCAACCAUAGCCUAUAUCAGCUCAAACCACAGAAAUAGAAUAAGUUGGCCUUAGCCCAGAACAGAAUUCAGAAUAAAGCCCAUAGGCCCAUAACAGAACAGAACAGAUAUUACAUGUUUAUGCAGAAACCCAACCAUAUCCAACCGUAUACACCCCCGUACCAACCUUACACCGUGUGGGGAGACAACUCGACCCACCCAACCGCUACACACCACAGAAUUUGCAGCAUGGCUGCCAGAACAGAUAAUGUGACAGAGUCACCAGAUACAGAUAAUCGUGGCAGAGCCACCAGAACAGAUAUAUGUGGCAGAGCCACCAUAUCAGAUAUUUGUGGCAGAGCCACCAGAUCAGAUAUUUGUGGCAUAGCCACCAGAACGCUUCCUCCAUAAUAUAACCCAUGUCCCCAUGCAGCAGAUAUAUAAUCAUGGCAUACAUCAUACAGAAUCAGAUCGUCAUGCUUUUCAGUCAAAAUUAACCCUAGGGGUAUAACGGUAAUUUUGCACCUAGGGGUAUAACAGUAAUUUUCCAUACAUAGGGGUAUUAUAGUAAUUUAGCUACUUUUAGAGUUUUCAUGCAUAUCCUAACUAUUUACGUACUAUCAGAACACUUACCGCGCAUACUUACCGAAUUGGGCCCGUUGACCCAUGAACCCGAUCUUUGGCCCAUUAAGCCCAAAUUAUCAAAAUGUACGAAAUCGCGCGUACUUCAGUUUAUUACUUUAGAUUACCAAAUAUACAAACCCAACUAUUUUACGAGCAUUCGCACACUCGCAAAUUCCCAAAAUACCGACUUUUCGGCAUUUCGGCUUUUCGGCUUUUGCCAAUCUAGUCUAUGAGAGGGUGUCAGUUACACACCUGUUUGCGACGAUAUGCUGACGAGAUCCACACACGAACUGCCUACAAUUGGAUUACUAACACAUUAAUCUAACUGUUCAAAUACGAACUACGUAUUAACCCCUUACAAUAUUCGGCCAACCACACCUACAGAUCAUAGUAAGCUUAUAAGAAAUCAAUAAGCAACUCAUUAACAAAUUUUUGUCAAUGUUUACCACAUAAUCAUAAUUUCACUGCAAGCUGUCUUCCUGAGCAACAGUCACUAAAUCAUUUAUAACUGGAGCUACGAAACUCCAAAUCAAGUUCCGUUAAUUUUCCUUGAAAAUAGACUCAUAUAUCUUCUAUCCAUAAAAUUUUCAGAAUUUUUGGUUUAGCCAAUCAAUACCAGAUUUUUCUCAAAGUUUCCCAUGUUUCACUGUUUGACUAAUCUGACCACCCUUCAUUACGAAUCAAAUUUCUCAUUGUACAGAAUUCAAAAUAUGUUCUUGUUUAUUUCAUUAGAAACUAGACUCAAUAAGCUUUAAUUACAUAAUUUAUUCAGCUUCUAAUUCUUCUCCCACAAUUUGUGGUGAUUUUCCAAAGUCACGUUACUACUGCUGUCCCAAGCAGAUUUAUUACCAAAUCACUCUUUCACACAUACCUUGCAUGCAUGUUAUUUAAACAUGUAUAUCACCAAUCAAUCAUCACAUAUCUAUGAUUUUACUUAAGUAUAAUCUCCAUUUCAUCAUUUUAAAAAACAACAUGUUAGCUGAUUUUUCCCUUUAACAUCUAAGGCACAUGCAUGCUCAUUUGUUUGGCUCAACUUCACCUAUCUUCCAUUUUUCAUCAAAAGAACAUGAAACAACAACCAUUUCCUUCAUUUUAAUUCAUGACUAAAUGCUCACAACACAACUAAAAAUCAAAAUAUACUUCAAGAGUUAAGGUAGAAUCAAGAACUCAUGAACCUCAAAAUAGAAGCAAGGUACCAAGAACUUACCUUCAAUUUUCCUCCUCCUAAUGACCAAAUACUCAAGAGCUUUCUCCUCUCCUUUCUCUUCUCUAACUUUCAUCUAUGAUGAACAAAGAUGGACAAAACUUUGUUCUUUUCACCCCUUUUUCUUUUAAUAAAACUUCAUAUUUCAUCCAUUUAAUUCUUUAAUACAAAAGACAUGAAAUUCUUAUCAUGAAACAUUUA